AUGCGCGAGGUUCCAACCAGGAACAACAUACAACAAAGAUUGCAUAAGGAAGGUAUCGAAACAUAGAUACUACGCUAUUAUAAGCAUUCAACUCACAUACAUUUACAUAUUACAUUCUUAACUCUUUUUAGCUUCCAAAUACAAUCCAAGUUAUUACAAUUUAUUACAACAUUGUUCUUUUCAUUUCUUUUACAUUCCUAAGUAGCCGACUCAGGGUACUGCUAUCUCUGGUCUCGGUGGUAGGGCGCUUUCUACGGAGCUACGCCCUUUCCUCGCACUGUCGCGCCACUCACAUGUGAACCUGUACCCCAAAAAUAACACGG
RNAcentral lists this long non-coding RNA (323 nucleotides) under Ananas comosus (pineapple). Its description in RNAcentral is "long non-coding RNA (ACOM_LNC011920)". The record is from RNAcentral. Lineage: Eukaryota; Viridiplantae; Streptophyta; Magnoliopsida; Poales; Bromeliaceae.